This 23-nucleotide microRNA is filed under the name Homo sapiens (human). RNAcentral's name for it is "hsa-miR-5091". Lineage: Eukaryota; Metazoa; Chordata; Mammalia; Primates; Hominidae. The record is from miRBase by way of RNAcentral.
ACGGAGACGACAAGACUGUGCUG